ACCCCUUACCCGGAGCUGCCCAUGAACGAGCAGUUCUACAAUGCCAUCAAGCGCGGUUACCGCAUGGCGCAGCCUGCUCACGCCUCUGCUGAGAUGUGAGUGGAGCCUCGUGCCCUGGGGGGGAUUUCCUGGAUGAGACAGUGGACAUGUAGCUCUACCAGCUUCAGCCAAAGAGAGUUCUCAGCUCAGAGAUCCAGAAAAGUCUAGCUACACCUGGCUCUGGGUGUUCGUGUGCUCAGGAAUCCCUUCUGCCCUGGGCUCUGCUUGUCUCUGGGCCAGCCUCACUCUCAGGCUGGCACUGCCCACAUGGCUGCCACAGUGCCAGCCGAUGACUUGCACUGCCAAAGCCCCAGAGCUGACCUCUGUGGCUCAGCUGGGGUCGUAUGCCAUCAGAACCCACCUCUGACCAGAGAGGAUGAAGCCCCUCUGGGCUGCACCUGGGCCACGUGCUCCCCACGGGUGGCCACCCCACAGAGCCAGUGGUGGGUGGUGCUGGCUGCCACGUCUCCCGACACCCUGGUCCCUGCUCCUCUUAUUCUGAGAGGCGGUGGCUCCAGCUCCCAGCACCGCCCGCCCCCACCAGAGCCAGGGGGCCUGACCCUCUCUGCCCCUCCC
Molecule: long non-coding RNA, 615 nt
Filed under: Marmota monax (woodchuck)
Lineage: Eukaryota; Metazoa; Chordata; Mammalia; Rodentia; Sciuridae
Source: RNAcentral